Molecule: long non-coding RNA, 899 nt
Filed under: Gallus gallus (chicken)
Lineage: Eukaryota; Metazoa; Chordata; Aves; Galliformes; Phasianidae
Source: RNAcentral
GGCGAUCUGGGAUGUAGGCCUUCUUCUCUAAGGCUUCUCCUUCUGGAUCAGAGAGGUGACUCGGAAGCCUGUUACCUCUUCUCCAUCUGCAUCUGCAGGCUGAGUGAUGUGAAGCUGGCCAGGAGGUCUGUAACCUCAUCCACCUGCUCCUUUGUGCUGGUCAUCUGUAGCUUAGAGCAGAGGUCAUCCAGCUGUUCCUUUUGCUCAUGCCUCCCCAGACGGUCCAGGUAUUCCCGCAACAUCUGGAUAAUCUGUUUCACUUCAAGGCGUACUGCCUCCAGGCUGUGGGAGAUUCCUUCCUGUAAGAUGUUUAGCUUCGACUUCGCGAGGUGCAGUGGGGUUCUGCCAGCUCGAUCCAAGGCAUCGACUCUGGCCCCUCCGCGCAGCAGCGUGGUGAUGACAGGAACAUGGUUCGUGCAGGCAGCCAAGUGUAAGGGAGUGUUUCCCAGCCCGUCUCUUUGAUUUGGGUCAGCCCCGUGAUCCAGAAGCAGUUGCACAAUGUGAUCGUUGCCAUUGCAGGAGGCGAAGUGGAGGGCUGUCCGGCCUUUGUCAUCUGCAGCACAGGGGUCAGUUCCAUCCUCCAGGAGUUGCUGCACUGUGUCCAGGUCGUUGCCAUUGGCAGCCUCACGCAGCCUCUUCAGAGCGUGGCUCUCCUUGCCCGUAGGCCCCAGGCGGCGGUGGAGGCGGGCGGCCCUGCGCAGGCGGCGGGCCGGGAUCUUGCCGGCGGGCUCCUCCCGCUGCCACAGGACGUGCAGGUAGCCGAGGGGGGCUCCCACCGCCCCUCCGAGCGCCACCCCGGCUCCCAGAGCCGGCUCCGACUCCGUCCCCGCAGCGGACUCGGCCGCGGCCCCGCCACCGCCCUCCAUUCCCUCACGGGCCGGGCCGGGCCGGGCCGCACA